AGCGAACGCUGGCGGCAGGCUUAACACAUGCAAGUCGAGCGCCCCGCAAGGGGAGCGGCAGACGGGUGAGUAACACGUGGGAACGUGCCUUUUGGUUCGGAACAACCCAGGGAAACUUGGGCUAAUACCGGAUAAGCCCUUACGGGGAAAGAUUUAUCGCCAAAAGAUCGGCCCGCGUCUGAUUAGCUAGUUGGUGGGGUAAUGGCCCACCAAGGCUACGAUCAGUAGCUGGUCUGAGAGGAUGAUCAGCCACAUUGGGACUGAGACACGGCCCAAACUCCUACGGGAGGCAGCAGUGGGGAAUAUUGGACAAUGGGGGCAACCCUGAUCCAGCCAUGCCGCGUGAGUGAUGAAGGCCUUAGGGUUGUAAAGCUCUUUUAGCAGGGAAGAUAAUGACGGUACCUGCAGAAAAAGCCCCGGCUAACUUCGUGCCAGCAGCCGCCGUAA
Molecule: ribosomal RNA, 447 nt
Filed under: uncultured bacterium
Lineage: Bacteria
Description: partial 16S ribosomal RNA
Rfam family: Bacterial small subunit ribosomal RNA
Source: RNAcentral